Long non-coding RNA from Medicago truncatula (barrel medic), 639 nucleotides. RefSeq lists it as uncharacterized. The transcript is spliced from 2 exons. The record is from RefSeq and is a predicted model, not a curated record. NCBI's taxonomy places the organism in Eukaryota, Viridiplantae, Streptophyta, Magnoliopsida, Fabales, Fabaceae.
GCAAAGAUUAAUUUUUAAGUUUAUUUAAUAAAUAAUGUGAAGGUGGUGCUGGUAGAAAGAUGCAUGGUUUCGGAUCAUCCAACAGCGACAAGGCACUCAAGGUUAGUGUUGAUGACGUGAACAAUGGAGAAUAUGCUCUGAAGGUGACGACUGUGAAGGCAAAUAACACAACGGCGGAGCAGGCACACACUGCAGCUGUGCUGUUGUCUCAACCUGAAGCAGCUGUGCUUCGUGAAUUGGGAGAAAAACUCCUUUCCCAUAUCAGAUCAAGAAUCUGAUUUUUUUAUUUUUUAUUUUUUAAGUUUGGAGGUUGGACAUUAGUCAAGUUACCAAUCGAAUAAAAUACCACUCCAGAAUCAGCUGUGUUUCUACUAAUUUUUGAAUUUUGACAAAUAAAUUUACUUAGAUCAGUUACUAUGUUGUAUCAGAUCAAGGUAGCAUGUUUUUUUAGAGGAUCUGCAAGGUAGCAUGUUCCUUUGGUUCUUGCUGUUGUUUGAUUUAGAAUUUGUUUCUCUAUUUCUUGUUAUUUGUUUCUUUUAGGUAGUUGUUUUGAGAUAGCUCCUUUUGUUGUUGCAAUUAUCUGGUGUAUCAGUUCGCACAUCUUGUGCAUGUUGCAGUUAUUAGUGUUUGGCCUCUUUA